Molecule: ribosomal RNA, 782 nt
Filed under: uncultured bacterium
Lineage: Bacteria
Description: bacterial SSU rRNA
Rfam family: Bacterial small subunit ribosomal RNA
Source: RNAcentral
CCCCGGNNNNNNNNNNNNUGGUUAGNUCCCCUUGAGUUGAUCAUGGCUAGAAUCACGCUGGCGGCGUGCCUCAGACAUGCAAGUCGAACGCGAAAGUCCCCUUCGGGGGACGAGUAGAGUGGCGCACGGGUGAGUAACACGUAGGUAAUCUACCUUUGGAUUGGGAAUAACCACCGGAAACGGUGGCUAAUACCGAAUAAUGCAGCGGCACCUAAUGGUGACAGUUGUUAAAGCGGGGGAUCGUAAGACCUCGCGUCUGAAGAGGAGCCUGCGGCAGAUUAGCUAGUUGGUAAGGUAACGGCUUACCAAGGCGAUGAUCUGUAGCCGGCCUGAGAGGGCGGUCGGCCACACUGACACUGACAUACGGGUCAGACUCCUACGGGAGGCAGCAGUCGGGAAUUUUGGGCAAUGGGCGAAAGCCUGACCCAGCAACGCCGCGUGAAGGAUGAAAUCCCUCGGGAUGUAAACUUCGCAAGAACGGGAAGAAUAAGUAAGGGUUAAUAUCUCUUACGAUGACGGUACUGUUUGUAAGCUCCGGCUAACUCCGUGCCAGCAGCCGCGGUAAUACGGGGGGAGCAAGCGUUGUUCGGAUUUACUGGGCGUAAAGGGCGCGUAGGCGGCCACCGCAAGUCGACUGUGAAAUCUCCGGGCUUAACCCGGAAAGGUCAGCCGAUACUGCCGUGCUUGAGGACUGGAGAGGAGACUGGAUUUACGGUGUAGCGGUGAAUGCGUAGAUAUCGUAAGGAGACAGUGGCGAAGCGGUCUCUGGAAGUCCUGACCUA